Macaca mulatta (Rhesus monkey) is the source of this 248-nucleotide non-coding RNA. The record is from RefSeq and is a predicted model, not a curated record. NCBI's taxonomy places the organism in Eukaryota, Metazoa, Chordata, Mammalia, Primates, Cercopithecidae.
UCAUUGUGCACUGAGAGAGAAAGAGGCUGCCGGGACAGAGAUGCUGCUGCUGGCUGGAGACCUUAUUGAGUCCCAGUCUCUGGGACAACAAACCGACCUUCCAAAUACAUAGCUCUUCUAAAAUGAGCUAAGAAAGGAUCAUCAAAAUUGUAUGACCUUGAAGCUUAACAAAAUCUGGAUCACUCCCUAAAACCUAUGAGGACAGUAUGAGAUAGCUUGUUCCAAAGGAUAAAGCUAAAGCAAAACCA